GCCCGCUUGGCACAGUGGUAAUGCGUCUCACUCGUAAUGAGAAGAUCGGCUGUUCGAUUCAGCCAGUGGGCA
This 72-nucleotide transfer RNA is filed under the name Ascocoryne sarcoides NRRL 50072. RNAcentral's name for it is "tRNA-Thr (CGT) (tRNA-Thr-CGT-2-1)". It matches the Rfam family "tRNA". From Rfam's summary of the family: Transfer RNA (tRNA) molecules are approximately 80 nucleotides in length. The record is from RNAcentral. Lineage: Eukaryota; Fungi; Ascomycota; Leotiomycetes; Helotiales; Gelatinodiscaceae.